UGUAUAACAGGCAACUCUCCCUACC
RNAcentral lists this non-coding RNA (25 nucleotides) under Mus musculus (house mouse). The record is from RNAcentral. Lineage: Eukaryota; Metazoa; Chordata; Mammalia; Rodentia; Muridae.